RNAcentral lists this ribosomal RNA (433 nucleotides) under uncultured bacterium. RNAcentral's name for it is "bacterial SSU rRNA". It matches the Rfam family "Bacterial small subunit ribosomal RNA", at positions 43 to 524 of the family's 1533-position model. The record is from RNAcentral.
CAGGCCUAACACAUGCAAGUCGAACGCCCCGCAAGGGGAGUGGCAGACGGGUGAGUUACACGUGGGAACGUACCCUUUGGUUCGGAACAACCCUGGGAAACUAGGGCUAAUACCGGAUACGCGCGAGAGCGGAAAGGUUUACCGCCGAAGGAUCGGCCCGCGUCUGAUUAGCUAGUUGGUGAGGUAACGGCUCACCAAGGCGACGAUCAGUAGCUGGUCUGAGAGGAUGAUCAGCCACAUUGGGACUGAAACACGGCCCAAACUCCUACGGGAGGCAGCAGUGGGGAAUAUUGGACAAUGGGCGCAAGCCUGAUCCAGCCAUGCCGCGUGAGUGAUGACGGCCCUAGGGUUGUAAAGCUCUUCUACCUGGGAAGAUAAUGACGGUACCAGGAGAAUAAGCCCCGGCUAACUUCGUGCCAGCAGCCGCGGUAAU